GCUUGAGGCCUCAAUACCCUAAAGGCAACAGAUCCCAUAUGAUCUUGGAAACUAAGCAGGGUCAGCCCUGGUUAGUAUUUGUAUGGAAGACCACCAACUAAUACCAAGUACUCUAGGCU
Molecule: ribosomal RNA, 119 nt
Filed under: Anolis carolinensis (green anole)
Lineage: Eukaryota; Metazoa; Chordata; Lepidosauria; Squamata; Anolidae
Source: RNAcentral